This 438-nucleotide ribosomal RNA is filed under the name uncultured bacterium. RNAcentral's name for it is "partial 16S ribosomal RNA". It matches the Rfam family "Bacterial small subunit ribosomal RNA", at positions 339 to 795 of the family's 1533-position model. The record is from RNAcentral.
CUACGGGAGGCUCCAGUGAGGAAUAUCGCACAAUGGGGGGAACCCUGAUGCAGCAACGCCGCGUGGAGGAUGACGCAUUUCGGUGUGUAAACUCCUUUUAUAUGUCAAGAAAAUGACGGUAGCAUAUGAAUAAGCACCGGCUAACUCCGUGCCAGCAGCCGCGGUAAUACGGAGGGUGCAAGCGUUACUCGGAAUCACUGGGCGUAAAGGACGCGUAGGCGGGUUGGAAAGUCAGGUGUGAAAUCCUACAGCUUAACUGUAGAACUGCACUUGAAACUUCUAAUCUAGAGUAUGGGAGGGGGAGAUGGAAUUAGUGGUGUAGGGGUAAAAUCCGUAGAUAUCACUAGGAAUACCUAAAGCGAAGGCGAUCUCCUGGAACAUUACUGACGCUAAGGCGUGAAAGCGUGGGGAGCAAACAGGAUUAGAUACCCGGGAGUC